ACUGGACACAAAGUACUCAAUACGUUCUUAUCCCUUUUGAACAAACAAUUGUUGCCUAGAGUGCACAGUUCCAUCUUUCCAGGUAAACUCCUACAUCAGGGUUAGUCCCCAACAAGCAGUCCUGUUGUUAAGGAUGUGUCUGCAAAUGGAUUGUCUAUAAACAAACUCAGCAUCUGGCAGACAUUCCAAGUAUUCAACUUUAGCUGUCUGGUGAUGGAGCGAUGGAUGGUGAUCAUAACAGGUGACUGGAAAAUACUCAUGUCCUGUUUGUGUCCGGAUUUCCCAUGCAAGAUGUCAGAACCAGCAUUUCAGGAAGUAGACUGAAAUAAAGGAACUAUUAAAUAAGCUCGCA
RNAcentral lists this long non-coding RNA (352 nucleotides) under Coturnix japonica (Japanese quail). Its description in RNAcentral is "lncRNA (ENSCJPG00005011636.1)". The record is from RNAcentral. Lineage: Eukaryota; Metazoa; Chordata; Aves; Galliformes; Phasianidae.